GUGUGUCGUGACGUCACGGUGCCGAGCGGGGAGAAGGACGCGCGCGAUCCUGCCCACGUGUUUCGUUCCAGCUGAUAACCGGGCUCGGAGCUGAAACGCGGCUUCUUUCGAGACCGAGUGGAAGCGGGACUGGGGGACAUUGGCGCGGAGCUAUUUGCUUUGAAGUCAAUCUCUUUCGUUAAAAUAACGACGUAAAUAAAAUCAGUAAUCCCACUUACCCUGAGAAAACAUGGAAGACUGGGAGGACAACGUGGACCCCAUGCCCCAGAGUGCUUACAAUGCAUUGACAAAUGGUAAUGAAACAAAGACCUGGAAUAGCCUCUAUUCAGAUAGGCCUUCUUACAGUCAAAAUGGUAAGUUUUUUAAAAGAAACUAUUCACUCUAGAGACCUGCCCACAGAAGAACAAGCAGGCCAUUUUUUUCCUCCUGGUUUG
This 434-nucleotide long non-coding RNA is filed under the name Lepisosteus oculatus (spotted gar). RNAcentral's name for it is "lncRNA (ENSLOCG00000022798.1)". Lineage: Eukaryota; Metazoa; Chordata; Actinopteri; Semionotiformes; Lepisosteidae. The record is from RNAcentral.